GGUCAUAGUGAUCCGGUGGUUCUGAAUGGAAGGGCCAUCGCUCAACGGAUAAAAGGUACUCCGGGGAUAACAGGCUGAUACCGCCCAAGAGUUCAUAUCGACGGCGGUGUUUGGCACCUCGAUGUCGGCUCAUCACAUCCUGGGGCUGAAGUAGGUCCCAAGGGUAUGGCUGUUCGCCAUUUAAAGUGGUACGCGAGCUGGGUUUAGAACGUCGUGAGACAGUUCGGUCCCUAUCUGCCGUGGGCGCUGGAGAACUGAGGGGGGCUGCUCCUAGUACGAGAGGACCGGAGUGGACGCAUCACUGGUGUUCGGGUUGUCAUGCCAAUGGCACUGCCCGGUAGCUAAAUGCGGAAGAGAUAAGUGCUGAAAGCAUCUAAGCACGAAACUUGCC
Molecule: ribosomal RNA, 391 nt
Filed under: Escherichia coli
Lineage: Bacteria; Pseudomonadati; Pseudomonadota; Gammaproteobacteria; Enterobacterales; Enterobacteriaceae
Description: partial 23S ribosomal RNA
Rfam family: Bacterial large subunit ribosomal RNA
Source: RNAcentral